AGAGCAAGCGGACCUCAUAAAGUAUGUCGUAGUCCGGAUUGGAGUCUGCAACUCGACUCCAUGAAGUCGGAAUCGCUAGUAAUCGUAGAUCAGAAUGCUACGGUGAAUACGUUCCCGGGCCUUGUACACACCGCCCGUCACACCAUGGGAGUGGGUUGCAAAAGAAGUAGGUAGCUUAACCUUCGGGAGGGCGCUUACCACUUUGUGAUUCAUGACUGGGGUGAAGUCGUAACAAGGUAACCGUAGGGGAACCUGCGGUUGGAUCACCUCCUUACCUUAAAGAA
RNAcentral lists this ribosomal RNA (284 nucleotides) under Klebsiella aerogenes. RNAcentral's name for it is "partial 16S ribosomal RNA". It matches the Rfam family "Bacterial small subunit ribosomal RNA", at positions 1260 to 1533 of the family's 1533-position model. The record is from RNAcentral. RNAcentral also lists the same sequence under 1 other name. Lineage: Bacteria; Pseudomonadati; Pseudomonadota; Gammaproteobacteria; Enterobacterales; Enterobacteriaceae.